Molecule: ribosomal RNA, 1242 nt
Filed under: metagenome
Description: bacterial LSU rRNA
Rfam family: Bacterial large subunit ribosomal RNA
Source: RNAcentral
UGAGUACGAGAUGCUACGGCAUCGAAGCAGUCUAUGUCAUACUUCCAAGAAAAGCUUGCACUGUCAUAAACAAAUAAUGCCUGUACCAUAACCGACACAGGUGGGUAGGUAGAGUAUACUAAGGGGCGCGAGAUAACUCUCUCUAAGGAACUCGGCAAAAUGACUCCGUAACUUCGGGAGAAGGAGUGCCUUAUUUUAUAAGGUUGCAAUAACAAGAUCCAAGCAACUGUUUACCAAAAACACAGGUCUCCGCUAAGUCGUAAGACGAUGUAUGGGGGCUGACGCCUGCCCAGUGCCAGAAGGUUAAAGAAGUUGGUUAGCAUUAGCGAAGCUGAUAACUGAAGCCCUGGUGAACGGCGGCCGUAACGAUAACGGUCCUAAGGUAGCGAAAUUCCUUGUCGGGUAAGUUCCGACCCGCACGAAAGGCGUAAUGAUUUGGAUACUGUCUCGGAGAGGGGCUCGGUGAAAUAGACUUGUCUGUGAAGAUGCGGACUACCUGCACCUGGACAGAAAGACCCUAUGAAGCUUUACUGUAACUUGAGAUUGAAAUUGGACUUUAUUUGCGCAGUAUAGGUGGGAGACGUUGAAAAUAUUCUUGCGGGAAUAUUGGAGUCAUCAGUGAGAUACCACUCUUUUAAUGUUAGAUUUCUAACUUUGUAUCAUUAUCCGGUCAAAGAACAGUCUCAGGCGGGCAGUUUGACUGGGGCGGUCGCCUCCCAAACGGUAACGGAGGCGCACAAAGGUUUCCUCUGAACGUGUAGAAAUCGUAUCUAGAGUGUAAAGGCAUAAGGAAGCUUGACUGUGAGACCUACAAGUCGAGCAGGGACGAAAGUCGGUCUUAGUGAUCUGACGGUGCUGAGUGGAAAGGCCGUCACUCAACGGAUAAAAGUUACUCUAGGAUAACAGGCUGAUCUCCCCCAAGAGUUCACAUCGACGGGGAGGUUUGGCACCUCGAUGUCGGCUCAUCGCAUCCUGGGGCGGUAGUACGUCCCUAGGGUUGGGCUGUUCGCCCAUGAAAGCGGUACGCGAGCUGGGUUCAGAACGUCGUGAGACAGUUCGGUCCAUAUCCGGUGUAGGCGUUAGAAUAUUGAGAGGAGCCUUCUUUAGUACGAGAGGACCGAGAAGGACAUACCUCUGGUGUACCAGUUAUCGUGCCAACGGUAAACGCUGGGUAGCUAUGUAUGGAGAGGAUAACCGCUGAAAGCAUCUAAGUGGGAAGCCCACCUCAAGAUUAGUAUUCUU